Molecule: small nuclear RNA, 77 nt
Organism: Mesocricetus auratus (golden hamster)
Lineage: Eukaryota; Metazoa; Chordata; Mammalia; Rodentia; Cricetidae
Source: Ensembl
GUGCUUGCUUCAGCAGCACAUAUUCUAAAAUUGGAACGAUACAGAGAAGAUUAGCAUGGCCCCAGUGCAAGAGGAUG